This is a non-coding RNA of Xyrichtys novacula (pearly razorfish), 2983 nucleotides long. NCBI's taxonomy places the organism in Eukaryota, Metazoa, Chordata, Actinopteri, Labriformes, Labridae. The record is from the annotation of a GenBank genome assembly.
GUUGGGAAACUUACAGAACUAGUAUUGGAAAGUUGCUUUCUCUACACGGUGAGACUAAGGACCUUGCAGAAACUUAUAAACAUUGCGUUGAUAUCGACUUUGACAAUGUUCCUGAUGACGCUGGGUUUCACAUGACAUGCUACCAGUGAUUUAUUUGCAAAAGGCGUUUGAGAAACAAGAACAUGAUGCAGUCGCAGGUCAGUCAAACCCUUCAGGCAGCAUCGCCGAUGCAUCCAUGUCCACGGCAUCUGAAACUCUGUGAAAGAAACUUCACUGCCUAGAAGUGCCUAGAAAGUGAAUUUCGUUCAACUACGCUGGUGCUGCUUGUUCAAUGCAUUUUUGCAUAGACAAUACCAUUCUGGACUUUGGGUUAAAAUAUCUACCUAGACUAUCUGUCAGACUUUUGUCACCAGCCAGAAAUGUACAUAUAUGUGAGUAACACAAAACACAAUUAUAUGGUGCUGCUGUUUUUGCUUGUCGAAACUGCUAUGUUUAUUCUGGCAAGACAAAAUCUUUCUCAAAUGUCAUAAAUACAUCUACCUAACAUCUGAAACAGUCAUUGGUGCCUUAGUAUACGAUAAGUGAAUUCAGAUUAUGAAAUGUAGCAAAUUUCUUGAAGAAAACGUCUCAACUCAAGUGAUUUGCACCCAGCACAAUGAAAUAUAUAAGGGGUCCCCUCUUGGCAAUUUAAAAAAAAAAAUUAAGUCACAUUUCAAGUUACAUUGUAGUAAAAGACCUAAAAAGAAAAAUUUCUAUUCUAUUUUUGUUUUAUUAAAAUGACCAGAAAUAGGGGUCCACUCUUGGUCAGUCUGGGCUGAUAGUCCACUGUUGGUCAGGUAAGAUUGUGUGUGUGUGUGUGUGUGUGUGUGUGUGUGUGUGUGUGUGUGUGUGUGUGUGUGUGUGUGUGUGUGUGUGUGUGUGUGUGUGUGUGUGUGUGUGUUAUUUAAAGACUUCUGCUCCUCUUACUCUGGGAACUGUCAAGACACUAAUAUUAGUAAUGAUUUUUUUAAAAUACCUGCAGAUGUGACCUAUACACCCCACCAUCGAUGACAGAGCACUCCUACAAUUCACCAAUCAUUGACAGAAAAGAGGAAUACCUGGGGUCUAGUUCAGGUACCAUCAAUUUUUAAAAAUUUGCAUAUGAAGACAAGACCUUAUGUGUUUCUAUUUGUUCAUUAACCUCCCUUUGUUAGCCUUAAGAGGCAUUUUUGAAUGCUCAAAGAGGACAGAUGUUGUUCACAACUGUCUCAUUACAUGCCCUCUUGGUUCUGUUUGUUUGCCAUAUGAUGUCUUAAACCCAAUUUAAGACGGAGACAGAAGAAAAAAAUGUUAAAAUACAACAUUUUAUUUAAUCAUGAGUACCAUGACACAAAAUAUGACAUACUGCACGUGUUAUUGAGAUAAAUGCUGUAAGCCACUGACAUGUUCAUUAUUAGGAUAUGAUUACUGAUGUGUGUUUUGAAAGGUAGUGAUGCACAAGUGAGGCAGUUUCAGAGAUGUUGGCCCCAUAACUCAGCUCUCUUUUCUUUUAUUAGAACAACUCAGCUGGGAGCCAUGUGAAAAAAUACUCUGGGUGCCAUCCAUCUGGAUUACUGUCCAGACUCUUCCUUGUGUGCCAUCCUGAAACAAUUAGACUGCAGUUAAACUUUCUCAGCCUGAAUCAUCUGCUCAGCUCCAUGAACGCCGUCACUGUCAUAUUUCUCAGAGUUCCUUCCAUUUUUUCUCACAUCUGUCAUGCUGAACUCUAUUUAUCCAUUACCUUUGCCAGCUCUCUCACACUAUGCCUGGUUCUCUCCUGAGUCACCUUCACUCCUCCUCCACCUCCUCCUCUGCUGUGUUUUAUGGCUAAAAGCUGUUAUUCCGCUCGGCUGCAGCCCGACUCCUCUCUAUAAUAUUUCAUUCAUCAGAACAAUUAAAGCGGAACAUUGGUUUCCAGGGUGAUAAUUAGGCUUUGAUGUGUGAACCUGAACGCCACCAGGACAAGACAGCUUGAUUACUCUCAUUUGCCCGUCUCUGUGCUGUUCCAGGGUUAUUAUCCAUUGUCUUGUCAAGCAAAUAGAGGAAGAAAACAGCCAUGAAAUGGAGAGAGGUGAGACCUAGAGAGACAGAUGGAAAUAGAAGUAUAAAGGUAGGAAGAGUCAUGAGAGAGUUUGUCGGGGAUGAGUGGCUUGUAAUGGGACCGGGUCUUUUGGAUAGCGAUACACCACAUUAACUCAGUCUCCCGCUGCUUUUCAGUCAAACACCCGUGGCCUUUCCAACCCCAUGAACGGCAACAGGGAACUUCAUCAACUUUUCAGUGGGCUUCAAGUUGCAAUUUUAGAUGUUUUUUAGACUGUUGAAGAACACUUUUAUUCAUUAAUAUACUUUUUAAAGCUCCACACAGAGUUUCAUACAUGACACAAGUGCCCUUAACCUGAGUGUUGUUUUUAAACCAAACUAAAUACUUGUGAAGAGUGAAAUAGAAUUCACCUGAGAAUUUUACCUGAAAAAGACUGAAAAAUGGUCAAUGCAUAUAAAAACAAAGUUUUAUUGUUCAAAACCAUUACGCCCUUUUUUUAAUUUAAAAAGCACAAAGACAACACAUUAUAGAUUAAUAUGUAAAUUGAAGUUGUAUGCAAAAACAUGCCUAUUCUAGAUUUAAUGUGAGCAACAUAUCGAUAGUGGUUGUGAUUUUGAGCCCAUGCAGUGAAUUCCACUAAAAAGUCAUGUCUGUUUUUUUUUUCUGCAGUGCUGCUUGAGGCUCCAAGGAUCAUCUACUAUUUGCUAUUUGGCUUUGCUAAAAAGAUAUUUUUCUAGAUUCUUUAAAUGAUUUAAUGAUAUUAUACUUUUACACAAACAAACAUUAUCCUGUUGGAUGAUUUGCUAACACAGUUGCUAGACCCAAUAGACCCAGCUUUUCUGGACUACCUUUGUACACCUUGUCAUGUCUCAAAGCAGUUGUAAAUUAGCCUUCAUGUUUUGAUUCUGUCUGAACAUUUUUGAC